Molecule: ribosomal RNA, 231 nt
Filed under: Triticum aestivum (bread wheat)
Lineage: Eukaryota; Viridiplantae; Streptophyta; Magnoliopsida; Poales; Poaceae
Description: partial small subunit ribosomal RNA
Source: RNAcentral
AAACUAAUUAUUACAUAUCGCAUCUUAUUUACUGUGCAGGUGACUAUCACAUCGGUCGAAAGAAGCUUUUCGAAAUUGAAAUUACUAAAGAAUUAUUUGAGGUCAACAAUGACGCAACAAUGUUUAAAUGGUUUGACAACAUUACGCAUUGAGAAGAAAUUAUUAGAUGACACUGACAUCGACCACAUCAGAAGUGACUUUGCAUCAAGGAAUAUUAGAAGAAAUGUUUAA